GCGCACCAGGCGAGAAUCUUCCACAAUGGACGAAAGUCUGAUGGAGCGACGCCGCGUGCGGGAUGAGGGCCUUAUGGGUUGUAAACCGCUGUCAGGGGGGAAGAACAUCGGAAUGAACAAUACUCAUUCCGACUGACGUUACCCCAGAGGAAGCUCCGGCCAACUCCGUGCCAGCAGCCGCGGUAAUACGGGGGGAGCAAGCGUUGUCCGGAAUUAUGGGCGUAAAGGGCGUGUAGGCGGCGAGGUAAGUCGAAUGUGAAAAUCUCACGGCUCAAACCGUGAAACUGCGUUCGAGACUACCCUGCUUGAGUACGGGAGAGGUGUACGGAAUUCCUGGUGUAGCGGUGGAAUGCGUAGAUAUCAGGAGG
This 368-nucleotide ribosomal RNA is filed under the name uncultured microorganism. RNAcentral describes it as "bacterial SSU rRNA". It matches the Rfam family "Bacterial small subunit ribosomal RNA", at positions 346 to 704 of the family's 1533-position model. The record is from RNAcentral.